CACGUAGGCGGAUCGGUAAGUCAGAUGUGAAAUCCCGGAGCUCAACUCCGGAACUGCAUUUGAUACUGCCAGUCUUGAGUGAGGUAGAGGGGGGUGGAAUUCCCGGUGUAGAGGUGAAAUUCGUAGAUAUCGGGAGGAACACCAGAGGCGAAGGCGACCCCCUGGGCCUUUACUGACGCUGAGGUGCGAAAGCGUGGGGGAGCAAACAG
Molecule: ribosomal RNA, 209 nt
Filed under: uncultured Pseudomonadota bacterium
Lineage: Bacteria; Pseudomonadati; Pseudomonadota
Description: uncultured proteobacterium partial 16S ribosomal RNA
Rfam family: Bacterial small subunit ribosomal RNA
Source: RNAcentral